ACAGAGAAGCUUUCCUUCCAGAAGACCGUCGAAAUCUAAAACAGAACUGCGUGUCGCCAAGACAACCUACAUGGGGGGGAGAGAUCAACAACAACUGACAGCAUUCAGCAUUAGGACUUGACCACAGAAAAAGGGAAAUGCACUCCAAUUCUGCCCAUUUAUGUGUGUGUGUACAUAUAUAUAUGUAUACACAAUUUUUUUUAAGUAAACAAUUAGAUGGUUCUGGCAACAAUAAAUAGCUUUCUUUAAACAAGAAGAAGAAACAUAACUUGCCACAAGGUGGUCCAAGCCAUCAGCCACAUGCCUCUAAUUCCUCUUUGGCAGCAGAACAGGAAAAUUUAGAUGAAAGAAGAAUUCAGCAAGCAGGACCACACACAGCAAAAAAAGGAAAGAAUAGAAAAGAAAAGGUUUCCACAGGAAGGAUUUAAUCCCAAACCAUGGAUAUAUGCUGUUGCAAUCUUGUUGAACACAGCUUAGUCCAACAGCAGAUGACUACAGAACAAAAAAAGCACUUACCUGAGUUGGAAUCUGGAAAAGACAAGUAGCAAAUAUUGGUUUUCUAAAGAGUAGGGAAAAGAAAGAGGGUAGUUACAUCUCCUGAUAUUUCUAAAUUAAAACCAAAUGCUAUAUUUACACAGCAACAAUUAUUUACCUCUUUAUCUGUGAGCUUUGAAUGUGGAGGAUAUAUUACCUACAGGAAAAAAAAAGAUAGUAUUUCAUUUAAAAAUAUACCAAGUAUAAGUAGAAAGCUUAUCUUACGUGUUUCUACAAUACAACCCUCAAAUACUUGUCAGCUUUAGGCUACUAUCUAUGAUAAGUUAUUAACGCUAUCCAUCUGUUCUUACUCACGUGCUUUUUAAGCUAAUGAUCUUUGAGAGUAAAGAUUAAAGAACACCUCUACAGGGUGCUCUGGGUGCCAGCUGGAGAUUAUAAAGGUACACUCAAAAAUUCAGGCUAUAUGACAUUUGGUACAGCUGGUCUUAAGGAAUUGCAGUUUGUAUUUAACUUGUCAGAAGAUGCAGCCAACGACACUAUAGAAAGCCAAUGUGUUACUGUCUGGAACCUGUUGCACUGGGUAGUUAGACUGGGAUAACCAAAAUUCAAUGACAGAACACCCACUGUACUGAUAUGAAGUGGUGAAGGAUGAACAAUGGCCACAAAUGAGAGCCAGGAGUGUGAAAGCACAAGAAUUGCACCCACAACGCCACUUACACUGAUAAAAAAAGGUUAUUUAGCGUUGUCUACAAUGCAUAAAUAAAAAACAAUGCGACAACUGAAGGCACAACAGUAACUAUACCAAUAAGUAAGAAAAGAGCACAGAAUGAAGCAGAACCUCAUAGCAUUCAGCAAUGCCAAGGAGAUGUUGCAAUCAACUUAAGUAAUGCACUCCAUCAGAAGUCCCUCAGCAGCUGAACGAUGCUGCAGCCACCUGCACCCAGUCAGAGCAUUAAGCCUACAGUUAGGCUACGAUUAACGGGGCUGCUACCAGAUUGGAACUCACACCCCUGCUGCUCACCAGCUAUUGCAACUCGGCAGAAGUCAAAGAUGAAACCAAAGGAAGUAAAACCAGCAGCAAACACAAACAUCCAUCACAUCUCAGCCUUCUGAGCUGCAUGGGUGGCCACCUCAGAGUGAUGAAGUGAUAAUGAAAGCAAGCAGAGCCCAGGUGAAGGUGUUUUGUUUCGUUUUAAUUACAAUGCUUUGAAUGACCUUAAAGAAAUCCAAACAGAAAAGAGCCAGAACACCACUUCUGUGAGCUGCUGCUAGGCCAGAAGGUGCAGAAAAUGAAUCUGCCUAUCCAAAGCACAAAAGAAAAUGCAGGGAAAAAAAAAAAAGAGCAAGUUAGACACGAAGAAGCAGAAUGAUGGGAGACCAUCAAUCACUCCCUGCUUCCAAAUGCUUCCCUUCGUAGUCAGUGCUCUUCACACACUGUCUUUCCUGCCUGCACUGCUCAGCUAACGUGCUGGGCAGGAAAGAAAAGGAACAGCCUGAAAGGCAGUGCCACAGCAGAGCUUGUGCCAGAAAUUCCAACUUCCCCACCGAUGUAAUGCAUGUUGUUGGAAGUGAAAGGAAAGUAACCAGAAAACUGUGAUUAACUGCAGGAAAUGUUACAGCUCCGUGGGAAUCCUCCCCCACAAUGCAACUGUGGGGAAAAGGCCCUACAGCUGCAGGUUUUGGCAAAGCACUGUUUCUGUCUGAGCAGAUUCCAGAGAAGAAAUGAAAUCUCUUCUUUUGUGCAGUUUGAAACUACGCCGCAUUUGCUUUGCAUUCAUGCACCUCUUAAUAUGCAGUCAUGUUAAGUAACCUCAUUCUUAAGACUCCAACUGAAAGACAAACAACUCAGGCCACAGUUCCACAUGCAUUUCAAGUUUCAUUUCAUGGGUGCAUCCGGCUACCAUUACCAGGACUGCUACCAGAGCUGCCUGCUGACCACACAGGGCCCUGUGUGUCCCUCACCCACACACAGCACCUCUGCCUCAGCCCUGGGUUACACAGCAACAUCACCCUCCUUGCUGCCAGCAUUAGGUGGGAACAGCGCAGAUGCUGCCAUAGGACGCUGGUUUAGUAUUUGCAUUUCCCCUGCAGCCAACGACACGCAUCAGCUCUGCUUUAAGGAUUUUAACAGCAGCACUAAGCCAGCCAGCGUGCACCCCCGCUAAAGCGCUGUCCCAGCCACAACGGAACACAGCGAGGAAGCUUUUCCCUACGCCGCAGCUGGCUGCCGCACGGGCACACGAUGAACGGACGUGAAACCACCGAACGGAGCCAUUUCUGCAGUUUAUUUCCCAUCCCCAUCUGCUGCGGAGCGGCAAAGCGCGGCGGCUCGGAGCUGUCAGACCGCGCGGAUUUCGCAGCACCGCAGUUCCCUCCCGGGCACGGCCGCGCUUCCCCCGCAGCCGUGCAACACCGCCCCAGAGGAAGUGCCCGAUUCCGGCGGGGCGAAGGGCCGCGCCGCAGAGCCGGGCGUUCCGGGGGGGGUUGGAGGAGAGGCGAGGCGGCCCGCGCCCGAGCCACGGCGCCCGCGGGCCCUCACGUACCUCC
This is a long non-coding RNA of Gallus gallus (chicken), 3042 nucleotides long. RefSeq lists it as uncharacterized. The record is from RefSeq and is a predicted model, not a curated record. The transcript has 3 exons. NCBI's taxonomy places the organism in Eukaryota, Metazoa, Chordata, Aves, Galliformes, Phasianidae.